Molecule: ribosomal RNA, 253 nt
Filed under: uncultured bacterium
Lineage: Bacteria
Description: partial 16S ribosomal RNA
Rfam family: Bacterial small subunit ribosomal RNA
Source: RNAcentral
UACGUAGGGUGCGAGCGUUAAUCGGAAUUACUGGGCGUAAUGCGUGCGCAGGCGGUUUUGUAAGCCAGAUGUGAAAGCCCCGGGCUUAACCUGGGAAUGGCAUUUGGGACUGCAAGGCUUGAGUGCGGCAGAGGAGACUGGAAUUCCUGGUGUAGCAGUGAAAUGCGUAGAUAUCAGGAGGAAUACCGAUGGCGAAGGCAGGUCUCUGGGCUGACACUGACGCUCAUGCACGAAAGCGUGGGGAGCAAACAGG